Molecule: long non-coding RNA, 617 nt
Organism: Chiroxiphia lanceolata (lance-tailed manakin)
Lineage: Eukaryota; Metazoa; Chordata; Aves; Passeriformes; Pipridae
Exons: 2
Source: RefSeq, a predicted model, not a curated record
UAAACUUAAAUGUUUCUUGAACUUUUUCUUCUAUAUAGACAGAAUAUUAACAGUGUGCAAUAGGGAUGCACUCUUUUCUGGAUGACAGGAAGUGAGUAAACUUGAACUCUGCUUUACCAAACCUGCUGCUGUGAGAGAGAAGCAAAGGUAUUUAGGAUAAUCUGGAUGAAUUAUUUUUGAUGACAUUUUAAGGCACAUUUAACUGACUAUAUUUGCUAAAAGGAACCCAGCACAGUGUUACUCUUGCUGGCUGGUUGCUGUCUAGCACUAUUCCAGUGCUUUUGGAGUAGGAAAAUAGUAUCUUUGAUGUUCUGCAGAUCUGGAUUUUAGCCUGGAGUGACAUGCAUGUGUAAUUUUAUCCAUUAACACUGUGGAUAUCAAUGCAUGGCUUAUGGAUUGGAUAUUUUCUAACAAUGCCACUUUGAGUAGAAUGGCUAAAACUUGAUUUGGUAUCAGUAGGGCCAUUGGUGCUUGCAGCUGGUUUCCUUGAAGUGCUUCUUGAUUGACUUGAAAGGAGUGCAAAUGUACAAGAAUGAAACAAAUUAAAGCACACUUCUAAAUUUCUGGAAAUAUGGUAGUUAACGACUUCCUUGUAGCCUAGGCUGACACUGAUUUAA